RNAcentral lists this ribosomal RNA (234 nucleotides) under uncultured bacterium. RNAcentral describes it as "partial 16S ribosomal RNA". It matches the Rfam family "Bacterial small subunit ribosomal RNA", at positions 96 to 334 of the family's 1533-position model. The record is from RNAcentral.
UGGCGGACGGGUGAGUAAUGUCUGGGAAACUGCCCGAUGGAGGGGGGUAACUACUGGAAACGGUAGCUAAUACCGCAUAACGUCGCAAGACCAAAGAGGGGACCUUCGGGCCUCUUGCCAUCGGAUGUGCCCAGAUGGGAUUAGCUAGUAGGUGGGGUAACGGCUCACCUAGGCGACGAUCCCUAGCUGGUCUGAGAGGAUGACCAGCCACACUGGAACUGAGACACGGUCCAG